AGAGUUUGAUCCAUGGCUCAGGAUGAACGCUAGCGGCAGGCUUAACACAUGCAAGUCGAGGGGUAUAUUUCUUCGGAGAUAGAGACCGGCGCACGGGUGCGUAACGCGUAUGCAAUCUACCUUUUACAGAGGGAUAGCCCAGAGAAAUUUGGAUUAAUACCUCAUAGUAUAUAGACCUGGCAUCAGGAUUAUAUUAAAGUCACAACGGUAAAAGAUGAGCAUGCGUCCCAUUAGCUAGUUGGUAAGGUAACGGCUUACCAAGGCUACGAUGGGUAGGGGUCCUGAGAGGGAGAUCCCCCACACUGGUACUGAGACACGGACCAGACUCCUACGGGAGGCAGCAGUGAGGAAUAUUGGACAAUGGGCGCAAGCCUGAUCCAGCCAUGCCGCGUGCAGGAUGACGGUCCUAUGGAUUGUAAACUGCUUUUAUACGAGAAGAAACACUACUUCGUGAAGUAGCUUGACGGUAUCGUAGAAUAGGAUCGGC
Molecule: ribosomal RNA, 487 nt
Filed under: Flavobacteriaceae bacterium JJ-40
Lineage: Bacteria; Pseudomonadati; Bacteroidota; Flavobacteriia; Flavobacteriales; Flavobacteriaceae
Description: bacterial SSU rRNA
Rfam family: Bacterial small subunit ribosomal RNA
Source: RNAcentral